CAGAUUUUAGCUUACAUAAAGCUUUUUAUUUACAUUAAAACGAAGAUAUAUUAUUGAAUCUGA
RNAcentral lists this transfer RNA (63 nucleotides) under Darthula hardwickii. RNAcentral's name for it is "tRNA-Val". Lineage: Eukaryota; Metazoa; Arthropoda; Insecta; Hemiptera; Aetalionidae. The record is from RNAcentral.